UGCCCAGCAAUUCCUAUCCCUACCUCCUCGCGGUACUGGCCAGGGUACGAGUAACCUUGGGGAAGG
Molecule: ribozyme, 66 nt
Filed under: Aedes aegypti (yellow fever mosquito)
Lineage: Eukaryota; Metazoa; Arthropoda; Insecta; Diptera; Culicidae
Description: drz-agam-1 ribozyme
Rfam family: drz-agam-1 ribozyme
Source: Rfam by way of RNAcentral